UCGAGAAUCUUCGGCAAUGGACGAAAGUCUGACCGAGCGACGCCGCGUGCGGGAUGAAGGCCCUCGGGUUGUAAACCGCUGUCAGUUAGGAGGAAAUCCAUGAGGGUUCUCUCUCAUGGUUGACCGAUUUUCAGAGGAAGGACGGGCUAAGUUCGUGCCAGCAGCCGCGGUAAGACGAACCGUCCGAACGUUAUUCGGUAUCACUGGGCUUAAAGCGUGCGUAGGCGGCUUGGUAGGUGAGAUGUGAAAGCCCACGGCUCAACCGUGGAACUGCGUUUCAAACCCUCAAGCUCGAGGAAGAUAGGGGUGAUGGGAACUUAUGGUGGAGCGGUGAAAUGCGUUGAUAUCAUAGGGAACACCGGUGGCGAAAGCGCAUCACUGGAUCUUUUCUGACGCUGAGGCACGAAAGCUAGGGUAGCGAACGGGAUUAGAUACCCCUGUAGUCC
This 446-nucleotide ribosomal RNA is filed under the name uncultured prokaryote. Its description in RNAcentral is "bacterial SSU rRNA". It matches the Rfam family "Bacterial small subunit ribosomal RNA", at positions 355 to 796 of the family's 1533-position model. The record is from RNAcentral.